GGGGUUGUGGCUCAUUGGUAGAGUGCUUGCCUCACAUGCAUGAGGUCCUGGGUUCGGUCCCCAGCACCACA
RNAcentral lists this transfer RNA (71 nucleotides) under Marmota monax (woodchuck). Its description in RNAcentral is "tRNA.Val". It matches the Rfam family "tRNA". From Rfam's summary of the family: Transfer RNA (tRNA) molecules are approximately 80 nucleotides in length. Their secondary structure includes four short double-helical elements and three loops (D, anti-codon, and T loops). Further hydrogen bonds mediate the characteristic L-shaped molecular structure. tRNAs have two regions of fundamental functional importance: the anti-codon, which is responsible for specific mRNA codon recognition, and the 3' end, to which the tRNAs corresponding amino acid is attached (by aminoacyl-tRNA synthetases). tRNAs cope with the degeneracy of the genetic code in two manners: having more than one tRNA (with a specific anti-codon) for a particular amino acid; and 'wobble' base-pairing, i.e. permitting non-standard base-pairing at the 3rd anti-codon position. Lineage: Eukaryota; Metazoa; Chordata; Mammalia; Rodentia; Sciuridae. The record is from RNAcentral.